CCUACGGGUGGCAGCAGUGAGGAAUAUUGGUCAAUGGACGCGAGCCUGAACCAGCCAAGCAGCGUGCAGGAUGACUGCUCUAUGGGUUGUAAACUUCUUUUAUACAGGAGUAAACUGAGGUACGUGUAUCUGUUUGAAAGUAUCUUCUGAAUAAGGAUCGGCUAACUCCGUGCCAGCAGCCGCGGUAAUACGGAGGAUCCGAGCGUUAUCCGGAUUUAUUGGGUUUAAAGGGUGCGUAGAUGGGUUGAUAAGUCAGAUGUGAAAGUUUGCGGCUCAACUGUAGAAUUGCCAUUGAUACUGGCAGGCUAGAGUACAGUUGAGGUAGGCGGAAUGCGUGGUGUAGCGGUGAAAUGCUUAGAGAUCACGAAGAACACCGAUUGCGAAGGCAGCUUACUAAACUGCCACUGACGUUGAGGCACGAAAGUGUGGGGAGCAAACAGGAUUAGAUACCCCUGUAGUC
RNAcentral lists this ribosomal RNA (460 nucleotides) under uncultured bacterium. RNAcentral describes it as "partial 16S ribosomal RNA". It matches the Rfam family "Bacterial small subunit ribosomal RNA", at positions 338 to 795 of the family's 1533-position model. The record is from RNAcentral.